This 471-nucleotide ribosomal RNA is filed under the name uncultured bacterium. Its description in RNAcentral is "bacterial SSU rRNA". It matches the Rfam family "Bacterial small subunit ribosomal RNA", at positions 355 to 825 of the family's 1533-position model. The record is from RNAcentral.
UCGAGAAUCUUCCGCAAUGGGCGAAAGCCUGACGGAGCGACGCCGCGUGGAGGACGAAGGCCUUCGGGUUGUAAACUCCUGUCACGGAUUAAGAAUGUCGUGCGGUGAAUAGUCGUACGAUUGACGUAAGUCCGAGAGGAAGCACUGGCUAACUCUGUGCCAGCAGCCGCGGUAAUACAGAGAGUGCAAACGUUGUUCGGAAUUACUGGGCUUAAAGCGCACGUAGGCGGCGCCGCAAGUGUGGGGUGAAAGCCCACGGCUUACCCGUGGAAUUGCCUGGCAGACUGCGGUGCUAGAGUGUGGUAGGGGAGAGCGGAACUCCUGGUGGAGCGGUGAAAUGCGUAGAUAUCAGGAGGAACACCGGUGGCGAAGGCGGCUCUCUGGUCCACAACUGACGCUGAGGUGCGAAAGCUAGGGGAGCAAACGGGAUUAGAUACCCCUGUAGUCCCUGAGCGGGCUGGCAAGGCGCAU